GGUGUCAGACCCGUUGAGGCGUGUUCGUGCGACUAUUGAUGCUUCCUAUGAGUCGGAUUGUUUGAGAAUGCAGUCCAAAUUCGGUGGUAAACUCCAUCUAAGGCUAAAUACUUGUACGAGUCCGAUAGCAAACAAGUACCGUGAGGGAAAGUUGAAAAGAACUUUGAAGAGAGAGUUAAAUAGUACGUGAAAUCGCUUAGAGGUAAACGAGUGGAGCCGAAAAGGUUGGGCGGGAUUCAGUUGGGCGUGCGAUGGCAAUCGGUUGGGUAAAAACCUCAUCUGGCAUUACUCGAUCGGUUGUUGUUGUGCGCUCGAUGCACUUUCUGUUCGACUGGACUGUGACCGAUAGUGUCGUUCGUUAGUAGUGGCGAGAAGGUGAUCAUUUGUUCGUCAUUUGGUUUUAUAGCUCGUCACUCGAAUGAAUGUGGUGUAUCGGUGAAUUGCAAUCGGUCAAUGUUGGCGGUCGGUUGUGUGCGCCGUUCGAUGGUAGGCUAUAUUUAGACUGCUGUUGGGCGGUGUGCGUGAUCGGUCGUCGAUGGAUCGGUUUAAAGUCGCAGUAAUAUGUAGGCAAUCUACUCGUCCCGUCUUGAAACACGGACCAAGGAGUUUUAUAUGAUCGCGAGUCAAAGGGCUUUACGAAACCCCAGGGCGCAAUUAAUGUAAAGGUCUGCUUAGGCAGGCUGUGAUGUGACCGGGAAUAAUUUCCUGUGCAAUAUCGACCCGUCUGAAGGUGUUCGCAUCUGGGCGGAGUUUGAGCGAUCAUGUAGAGACCCGAAAGAUGGUGAACUAUGCUUGUGCAGGUUGAAGUCAGAGGAAACUCUGAUGGAGGACCGCCGCGGUUCUGACGUGCAAAUCGAUCGUCGGACAUGAGUAUAGGGGCGAAAGACUAAUCGAACCAUCUAGUAGCUGGUUCCCUCCGAAGUUUCCCUCAGGAUAGCUGGCAUUUGUUGUCGUAGUUUUACCUGGUAAAGCGAAUGAUUAGAAGUAUUGGGGGCGAAAUGCCUUCAACUUAUUCUCAAACUUUAAAUGGGUUCGAUGUGUGACUCGCUUCAUUGGAGUUGCACGUUGAAUACGAGUGCCUAGUGGGCCAUUUUUGGUAAGCAGAACUGGCGAUGUGGGAUGAACCAAACAUUCGGUUAAGGUGCCUAACACCACGCUCAUGAGAUCCCACAAAAGGUGUUGGUUGAUAAAGACAGCAGGACGGUGCUCUUGGAAGUCGGCAUCCGCUAAGGAGUGUGUAACAACUCACCUGCCGAAUCAACCAGCCCUGAAA
RNAcentral lists this ribosomal RNA (1273 nucleotides) under Paraba franciscana. RNAcentral's name for it is "eukaryotic LSU rRNA". It matches the Rfam family "Eukaryotic large subunit ribosomal RNA", at positions 211 to 1317 of the family's 3401-position model. The record is from RNAcentral. Lineage: Eukaryota; Metazoa; Platyhelminthes; Tricladida; Geoplanidae.